UUACAGGGAACCAGAUUUUGACCAGUGAGAGAGGGGAAACAUCCCCAUGGUAUAAGCAAGAUUCUCAAGAUUUUUCAACAGAAGAUAAAGGAAAAGAGAUGGUGGGAAGCUGCUUCACACUGGGAAGGCUGGCUGUGGGCACCUCUUGGCCUGCAACUCUGGUACUGGCUGCUGCUGGGCACAGCGGGUGUCUGGAGAGGACCUGGUGUAGGAACGAGGAGCACAUCCUGCUGCAUUUCCAUGGAAAUCUCUCUGAAGCUGAACCUAAUUUGGAAGAUGUUCCCUUAGCAUCCAAAAGUCUUCUAAUAAAUGAGGACCUGUCCCUUGUGUCAAAUGCUGCAUAAACUCAGAAAGAACAGCACGUCCUGCCCCACCAAGACUUGCAGACAAUGAGUUUUGUUCUUUCAAAUCUAACUAAAGGAAGCAGUGGCUGCAGUGCUAUUUGUACACUCCUCACCAUCAGCUGAACAGUAAAAGAACAGAAACGGACAGAAUAACCAUUGUGUGGUGACUGGGCAAGUAUCUGCUAAAAAAUGGAUAUUGUUCUGUGAAGACAUGUGUG
Molecule: long non-coding RNA, 562 nt
Organism: Cygnus atratus (black swan)
Lineage: Eukaryota; Metazoa; Chordata; Aves; Anseriformes; Anatidae
Exons: 3
Source: RefSeq, a predicted model, not a curated record